RNA transcript from Vigna radiata var. radiata (mung bean), 4369 nucleotides. RefSeq lists it as uncharacterized. The record is from RefSeq and is a predicted model, not a curated record. Lineage: Eukaryota; Viridiplantae; Streptophyta; Magnoliopsida; Fabales; Fabaceae. The transcript has 16 exons.
AUAAAAAAUAAAAAAUAAACAAUGAGGUAAAGAGUUAAAUCGUGUCUUGAAAAAUAGAAUAAAAAAAAUAAAAAAAAUAAAAAAACAGAAAUGUUGAGAGCAGAGGAAAUGGAAAUGGCAAUAGCUGCAUAAGCAUAGAUGGAAUGAGAGUGGAAAAGAAAGAAAGAAAGAAAGAAAGAAGAAAUGAAUCCCACGUCAAUAUCAGGUGAGAGUUCAAAACAAAACUGACACAGAAAGUGAGAAAAUCAAGCACACACGCCACCACCACCUUCAUUGCCUUCGCCGGCAAACGCCACCGAAAAACCUAACGGCCACACCGUUCGUCGAUUCAAUUUAACCUCUCUAUCUCUCUUUCUCUCUCCAAUUCUUCGUAAGCAUCUUCGGCGGAAUUUUCCUCACUUGAUUUGAAUCGAGUUUUUACUUUUCCAAUUGCGCGGCGAUUUGGAGAAUUUCGUUUGCGAUGAACAUGCCGCCGAAGCCAAACCAGGUGGUAGUGAGAGACCUCGUCGAGGAAGCCAAAAAACGGAUCGUCAUCCUCGUUGUAUGCGUCGUCGGAAUCUCCUAUCUCAUGUCCUUAACAAGCUCCUCAGUUUGGGUCAACUUGCCAGCUGCAGCCUCCUUGAUUAUUAUUCUCCGCUAUUUGUCACUAGAUUUUGAAAUGAAGAGAAAAGCAGCGGCAUACAACAAUAAAGCAGGCUCCAUCAAUGUUCAGUCUUCAAAGAAGCCUGUAGAAAAUCCUAAAGUUAUUGCAAAGUUUGAAUGGAAAACAAAAGUGAAUUCUCCUGUCGUUGAGGAUGCAAUUGAUCAAUUCACCAGACAUUUAAUUUCUGAGUGGGUGACAGAUCUUUGGUAUUCUCGGUUAACACCAGACAAAGAGGGUCCUGAGGAGUUAGUGCAAAUAAUUAAUGGUGUUCUUGGGGAAAUUUCAGGACGCAUGAGAAACAUAAAUUUGAUAGAUUUUUUAAUAAGGGAUCUUGUUAAUGUUAUUUGCACACACUUGGAGCUGUUUCGUGCUGCCCAUUCAAAGAUUGGAAAACAUCAUACUGGUCCAUUAACAAUCGAAAGUCGAGACAUGGAACUAAAAAUUGUUUUGGCUGCUGAGAACAAAUUGCAUCCUGCAUUAUUUUCUGCAGAAGCUGAGCAUAAGGUUUUGCAGCAUCUGAUGACUGGCCUUAUGCAUGCUACUUUCAAGUCUGAGGAUUUGCAGUGUUCUUUCUUUCGAUAUACUGUCAGGGAGCUUCUUGCAUGUGCUGUAAUACGACCUGUCCUAAACUUAGCAAAUCCACGAUUUCUUAAUGAGAGAAUUGAAUCCGUAGUGGUUAACAAGACCAAGGUUAACAAGGGGGUUACUGCAGCUCAAGAGGCAUCUCACACUAAAGAAGAUGAGUUACAGGCUUCCUCUCAUGAUUUCACCAAGACUUCGGAUCCUUCUGUUACUGGUGUUGAGCUUAUGCAGCUAAAAAAUGGUCAAUCCAGAAAUGUAGAGACAUCUGCAAAACAAAAUGCUUGUGAUAAUGCUAUUAAAGAUCCAUUGCUUUCAGUUUCAGUUGAUACUCGAUCUUCCCGUACAUGGAGCUCAUUGUCCGCAAACCCCGAAACUAAUGGUGUCCAAAGUAUUCAACAACAUCGCUCAGGAGGAGAGUGGGGAGAUAUUUUAGAUGUCAUCUCUCGCAGAAAGACCCAAGCUCUUGCUCCUGAACAUUUUGAGAAUGUGUGGACUAAAGGGAAAAAUUACAAGAAAAAAGAUGGUGAGAACCAGUCAAAUGAGCAUGCUACACAGCAUCCUGUGGUAGGGAAACUGCCAAAGGUAGACCACAUGAAAGCAAUUUCUGGACCCAAACAAAGAGAUAAUAAUUCCAAGCUUAUUCCCCAAAAGGGGCACCACAUUAAUUCUGGACACAGUAGUCAAUUAUCUGUUGAAAAUACAUCCAUUCAUGUGGACAAGAAUGGAUCAAGUUCAGUUACCUCAUGUAAAGAUGAUGAGUCAGUUACAUCAUACAAAGACGAUGAGAACAUCCACAUUUAUGGGCAGAUAAGUGAUUCAGAGAGCAGUACAUCUUAUACUUCUGAAGAUGACGAAAGUAGUACUGUCACUGGUCUUGAUUCCCCUGUCACUAAGGUUUGGGAUGGAAGAAGUAAUAGAAAGCAGGCAGUUUCUCAUGUUCAUCACCCACUUGAAAAUUUUGACAAUCACAGUGCAAAGAAAAGGAGUAAGAGCCAUUCUCGCUAUUCAAGACUAUCCAGAGCCCAAUCUGGCAAUAAAAGGUCUUGGUCAGGUGUUCAUAAAAUGCAAACCUGGCAGGAAGUUGAGAGGACAAGCUUUUUAUCUGGUGAUGGUCAAGACAUACUUAAUGCUUCAAAAUCACAUGUGGAUUCUGAGUCCAGUGAUGAUGGUGAUAUUGAAAGUUUGGGCAGACUUUAUAGUGGAGCAGCAGCCUCUUCUUCUGCCCACUCUAUUUCUAAAACAGAAUCUAGUAGUUUGCCUUUUACUCCCCUGAAAAGUUCCUCUGGGGUAGAUUCCUUUUACAAGUUGAGAUGUGAGGUCUUAGGUGCAAAUAUUGUGAAGAGUGGCUCUAAAACAUUUGCUGUGUACUCCAUAUCCGUUACAGAUGUAAAUAAUAACAGUUGGUCAAUUAAAAGAAGGUUUCGUCAUUUUGAGGAGCUACAUAGACGCCUGAAAGAGUUCUCUGAGUAUAAUCUUCAUUUGCCACCAAAACAUUUUCUGUCGACUGGUUUAGAUGUACCAGUCAUUCAAGAGCGGUGUGAAUUACUGGAUAAAUAUUUGAAGAAACUUAUGCAACUACCAACAGUUUCGGAAUCAAUUGAAGUGUGGGACUUUCUCAGUGUUGAUUCUCAGACUUACAUAUUCUCAAAUUCUUUUUCUAUCAUGGAAACGUUAUCAGCUGGCUUGGAUGCCAAGCCAUUUGAGAAGACUAAAAACACUGCUCACUUUUCUGCACCUACAAGUGAUCCUGUGUCCUUCCGGAGAGAAAAUUGUAGUGCUGAAAGUAAAGAGUCAGUUAUGAAAGGAAAAAAUAAUGUUGAGGCCGAUGCAUUGAGGUCAAAAGUAAACAACAUGCCUCUUUCUCUUCCAAAAAAGAAUACACAUCAACCUAUAAAGUCAUUUGACAAUUCUAGAGGCAAUACAGAUAUUCUAGCACAAAAGAGUGCACCUUCUCCCAAUAACUCGCAAAAGCCAGUGAAAGGAAGAGAUAGUUCGGAUGAGGUCUGUGAAGUGCACCGUGAUACUUCUGAUGCUUUUCCAACAGAGUGGGUGCCGCCAAAUUUGAGUGUACCUAUAUUGGAUUUGGUUGACGUUAUCUUACAGGUUCAAGAUGGUGGAUGGAUUAGGCGGAAGGCUUUUUGGGUUGCUAAGCAAGUCUUACAACUAGGAAUGGGUGACGCAUUUGAUGACUGGUUGAUUGAGAAAAUCCAGCUUCUUCGAAAGGGAUCAGUGAUUGCUUCGGGGGUCAAGCGAGUAGAGCAAAUACUCUGGCCUGAUGGAAUAUUCAUAACCAAGCAUCCAAAUAGACGACCACCACCACCACCACCUAGAAACCCAUCUCAAAGUUCUCCUCGUGGUAAUCAAACUACAGAAGUAUCUUCUCCUAUUUUGGAAGAUGAACAGACACGGGAGGCAGAUCGGCGAGCAAAAUUUGUAUAUGAGCUAAUGAUUGAUCAUGCACCACCAGCAAUUGUAGGUCUUGUUGGUCGGAAGGAGUAUGAGCAAAGUGCUAGAGAUCUAUAUUUUUUCCUUCAGUCAUCCGUUUGCUUGAAGCAGCUGGCUUUUGACAUCCUGGAGCUGCUUCUGACGUCGGCAUUUCCAGAGCUUGAUGAUAUUUUCAAGCAGCUGCACGAGGAAAAGCAUAAAUUUGGUGAGUUCAGAACACAGUAAAUAUUGAGAUGAAGAUGAAGCGCUUUGUUUGUCUUCGGAAAUACACUUUUUUUCUUGUGAUAUUUCGUGGUCGGGUUGCCCUUUUGUCUCUGCAACCGCUGGCAUCCAACUACUGAGCUACAAAGGCAAUUCAAAUUUUCCACCUAUAAACCAUCUGGUGUCAGAUAAUUGUGCCGGACGACUGCCAAGGUGGGCUCCCCCGUGUAAGUGAUCCGUUUAUUGUGCGAAAGCUCUUAUUAAACGGAUUAAAAUCACUACAAGUCAUAAUACAACAUUUUUUUUUAAAUGAAACAGUUCUUGAAAUUUUUUAUUUAUAAAUACUUGCUAUAAUUUACAUACAGCCAGUUAUCUUAUAAAUAGGAUAGAGAGAGAUCAUAUAAACUCAUUUUUCUUUCGCUUAGACCUAUGCAUAUUCUUUUCAUGAGAAACACAUUUUAACAUUUGAUGAGAUCUGACGUACAGCUAUUCUAAUAA